This 308-nucleotide ribosomal RNA is filed under the name uncultured bacterium. Its description in RNAcentral is "bacterial SSU rRNA". It matches the Rfam family "Bacterial small subunit ribosomal RNA", at positions 28 to 334 of the family's 1533-position model. The record is from RNAcentral.
GACGAACGCUGGCGGCACGCCUAACACAUGCAAGUCGAACGGAGAUAAAGACUUCGGUUUUUAUCUUAGUGGCGGACGGGUGAGUAACACGUGAGCAACCUGCCUCUGAGGGAGGGAUAGCUUCUGGAAACGGAUGGUAAUACCUCAUAAUAUAGCGGUACCGCAUGAUACUGCUAUCAAAGAUUUAUCGCUCAGAGAUGGGCUCGCGUCUGAUUAGCUAGAUGGUGAGGUAACGGCUCACCAUGGCGACGAUCAGUAGCCGGACUGGAGAGGUUGAACGGCCACAUUGGGACUGAGACACGGCCCAG